RNAcentral lists this long non-coding RNA (529 nucleotides) under Phaseolus vulgaris (common bean). RNAcentral's name for it is "long non-coding RNA (PVUL_LNC002806)". Lineage: Eukaryota; Viridiplantae; Streptophyta; Magnoliopsida; Fabales; Fabaceae. The record is from RNAcentral.
UCAGAAGGGUUGACCCUACAUACUCUAAGAAGUUGUUAAGGACUGCCCAACAGGUCUACCACUUUGCUUUGCAGUACCAAGGUUCUUACAGUGAUUCACUUGGAUCAGCAGUUUGCCCAUUUUACUGCUCAUAUUCUGGUUUCAAGGUAAAACCAUUUUAUAGUUAGUUGCUUCUGUGUUCCUUCCUAUUAUUUUUUUCCUUUCAGUCAAAAUUGAGUGGUUGGUGUGCAUUACUAGGAGAAAAUAAGAGUUUAAUUUCUAUUCAGUGUCAGUCUAAAGCAUUUUACAUAGUCAAUCAAUAAAAAAUCAUAGGUGUUACAUUUAAAACAGCUAUUGAAAAAGUUAACAAACUCAUUAUAAAAAUUUAUGAUGGGAUGAAAAUGUAAAAAAACAUGUAUACUAACAGUGCAUAAUAAGACUAAUUACUUGGAAAAUAGUGUGGUCUUACUAAGCUUUGUUUAUUUUCAGGAUGAACUGUUGUGGGGUGCUGCAUGGCUUUUCAGAGCAACAAAUGCUGUUUACUACUACA